Molecule: ribosomal RNA, 482 nt
Filed under: uncultured bacterium
Lineage: Bacteria
Description: partial 16S ribosomal RNA
Rfam family: Bacterial small subunit ribosomal RNA
Source: RNAcentral
AUUGAACGCUGGCGGCAUGCUUUACACAUGCAAGUCGAACGGUAACAGGCCGCAAGGUGCUGACGAGUGGCGAACGGGUGAGUAAUGCAUCGGAACGUGCCCAGUCGUGGGGGAUAACUACUCGCAAGAGUAGCUAAUACCGCAUACGAUCUAUGGAUGAAAGCGGGGGACCGUAAGGCCUCGCGCGAUUGGAGCGGCCGAUGUCAGAUUAGGUAGUUGGUGGGGUAAAGGCUCACCAAGCCAACGAUCUGUAGCUGGUCUGAGAGGACGACCAGCCACACUGGGACUGAGACACGGCCCAGACUCCUACGGGAGGCAGCAGUGGGGAAUUUUGGACGAUGGGCGCAAGCCUGAUCCAGCAAUGCCGCGUGCAGGAAGAAGGCCUUCGGGUUGUAAACUGCUUUUGUACGGAACGAAACGGCUCUGGUUAAUACCCGGGGCUAAUGACGGUACCGUAAGAAUAAGCACCGGCUAACUACGUG